Molecule: ribosomal RNA, 325 nt
Filed under: Antrodiopsis sp.
Lineage: Eukaryota; Fungi; Basidiomycota; Agaricomycetes; Polyporales; Fomitopsidaceae
Description: partial large subunit ribosomal RNA
Rfam family: Eukaryotic large subunit ribosomal RNA
Source: RNAcentral
AUAUCAAUAAGCGGAGGAAAAGAAACUAACAAGGAUUCCCCUAGUAACUGCGAGUGAAGCGGGAAAAGCUCAAAUUUAAAAUCUGGCAGUCUUUGGCUGUCCGAGUUGUAGUCUGGAGAAGUGUUUUCCGCGCUGGACCGUGUACAAGUCUCUUGGAACAGAGUGUCGUAGAGGGUGAGAAUCCCGUCUUUGACACGGACUACCAGUGCUUUGUGAUGCGCUCUCAAAGAGUCGAGUUGUUUGGGAAUGCAGCUCAAAAUGGGUGGUAAAUUCCAUCUAAAGCUAAAUAUUGGCGAGAGACCGAUAGCGAACAAGUACCGUGAGG